GUCUGGCGUUGCUGUGAGUUGUGGUGUAGGUCGCAGGAGCAGCUCGGAUCUGGCGUGGCUGUGGCUGUGGUGUAGGCUGGUGGCUACAGCUCUGAUUAGACCUCUAGCCUGGGAACCUCCAUAUGCCGCAGGUGCAGCCCUAAAAAGACAAAAAAAAAGAAACAUAGAGAAAGCAGGGGCUUAAGGGCAGGGGCUUAAGGGCAUCUGCAGUCACUCUGGGGAAAACCUCCAAGGCAAGGAGCAGGAGGCUGUGAUCUUUCAAGAUCCCUGUGACUCUGAAACUCAAUGGCAUGAAAUUCCACGGAUUCCUUCUUCCGGACACACCAAACUUACAGCUACUUGCAUAACAACUGUCUAUGAGAACAACCUGCAGGUGAACAGGAAAGAUUUUCCACAACUAAAGACACAAAGAAGGGAAAUCCCACUGUGGCCCAGCAGGUUAAGAACAUGACUAGUAUCCAUGAGGGUGCUGGUUCGAUCCCUGGCCUCGCUCAGAAGGUUAAGGAUCUGGCGUUGCCACAUAGGUCACAGAUGCGGCUCGGAUUCCAUGUUGCUGUGUCUGUGGUGUAGGCUGACAGCUGCAACUCUGAUUCAACCUCUAAUCUGGGAACUUCCAUAUGCCAUGAAUGUGGCCCUAAAAAAGGAGAAAAACACAAAGGAGGAACCACAGCAAUAUGAGUAGGAGGGGCAGACACAGUGUGGUCAGGACGCACACCCCUGGACUGGCGACUUACAAAUGGAAGGACUAUCACAGUCACAGAGGUCCCCCCUAAGGAGUGAAGGGUCCAAGCCCCACUCUGGGCUCCUGAUAUCCAGGGUCCUAUACCGUGAAGACACUCCUCCAGGAUCUGGCUUUGAAAACCAGGAGAACCCAAGGGUUAUGGGGCACAGAGACUUUGCUCUUAAAGGGUGCGCACAAAAUCUCAUACUCCUGAGUCCCAGGGCGGAGGCAGGAGUUUUAAAAGGAGCCAGGGUCAGACCUACUUGCUUAUCUUCGUGAGCCUUCUGGAGAAACGGGAGGCAACUGGAACUCCCCCUGGACAUGGAAAUGCUUUGGGAAACUCAUUCUACUCAGAUAACAUCAAUGCUGGCUAGGAGUGUUCUGGAAUGCUCCCUAUUCCCUAAGAAUGCUGGGUACACAGCCCUGCCCACUAGCAGGCCAGUGCCAGCCUAGAGACGUUUUUCUAACCACGAAAUACAGUUGGCUACAGACACAUGAAAAGAUGCUCCACAACACGAAUCAAAUGAAAGCCACAGUGACAUCACACCUGUCAGAAUGGCUCUCAUCAGAAAAACAACAAAGAACAAAUGUUGAGAGUGUGGAGAAAGGGGGAAACCUUGUGCACUGCUGGUGGGACUGCAAACUGGUACAGCCACAAUGGAAAAUACUACAGAGGGUCGUCAAAACAUUAAAAAUAGAAUUUCCAUAUGAUCAGCAAUUUCACUUCUGAGUAUUUACCCAAAGAAAACAACACACUAAUUCCAAAAGAUAACUGAACCCCAGUGUUUGUUGCAACAUUAUUUAUAAUACCCAAGACAUGGUGGCAAUCUAAGUGUCCACCAAUAGAUAAAAUAAUAAAUAAAAUGUCAUGUAUAGAGUUGACCUUAGAGCAAAAUCUUAGGCGGCUGACCUCCCCACCCCAUUUGCUGUCAAAAAUCUGUAUAUAACUUGAUGGUCCCCCUCUGUGUCCUCAGGUUUCACAUCUGUAGAUUCAACCAAACACAGAUUGUACAGCAUUUUAAUGAAAAAAAUAUUUGCAUGGAAGUGGACCCAAACAGUUCAAACCCAUGUUGUUCAAGAGCCAAGUGACUAUAUAAUGGAACAUUGGCCAUUAAAAAAUGAACUCUUGCCAUUUUUGACAACAUCCGUGGAUCUCGAGGGUAUUGUGUUAAGCAAGAAAAGUCAAAGACAAAUACCAGAAGAUCUCACUUACAUGUGGGCACCUAAAAAACAAAACACACAAAGCAAAUAAAAUGAAAACACAUUCAUUGAUACGGAGAACAAAUGGUGGUUGCUAGAGAGGAGAGGUUGGAGGGGAAUGGAACAGGCUAAGGAGAUGAAGAGGUACAAACCUCCAGUUAUAAAAUAAAUAAGCCACUGGGAUGUAAUAUGCAGCAUAAGAAAUCUGGUCAAUAAUAUUGUAAUAACUUUGUAUGGGGACAGAUGGCUACUAGACCUGUGGGGAUCAUUUUACAAUGUAUGAAAUUGUCAAACCACUGGGCUGUACAUCUGAAACCAGCAUCAUAUUGUACAUCAACUACAUGUCAAUUUAAAAAAUUGUGGGACUUUGCAAGAAAAUUAAUACUACUUUGUCAUCAUUUGAUAUACAUUUGCUGGCCCAAACUGCAACCAAAACAAAUUUUCUUCUAUAUUUAUAACCAAUAUUGUCCUGGAAGCAUCACUUUCUUAACUUUAGAAUUUAUUAUGAUUUUCUUAGAAUUCAAACACUGUCUAAACACAACACAUUUCUUUCUUCUCUUUCCUUCCACAUUUUAAGUUAGUGGAGUCAUUUCCUUUUCACUUAUUUCAACGUAUAGAAAUUUGAAAUACAAAUGGACUAAAAUUCAAUUUCUUCACCUGGCAUUGAAGUCUGUUUAGAAUAGACUUGGGCCUAGAGCCAUGUUUCUCAAUGGAGAUCCCAAGCCAUAUCUCAUUUUCACACCACUCCCAGCUCUCCUCCUUCAUAGACUCUUGGGUUCCAGGCAGAAUGGACCCCAGCAAGUAUAAUUUCCCAUCUUUGAAUCUUUACUUAGGCUCCCCUCUGCCCCCAAAGACCAGCAUUAAGACCCCAACUCAAAUCUUUACCCUGUGCUGGGAAAUAGCACACAGUCCAAUUUAGUCAGUUUAGAUUUAUUAACCACAGCAGAUGAAUUUCUAAUAGCAUGUAACUCUAAAAUGUCAAGACUUAAGGAAAUAACAUUACAUGUAUAUAUUUUUAAAAAUCUUUCCAGCACUUCCAAAAAUGCUUUGAAGGUCACGCAAAUGUCAAUUGAAUACUUGCCUUUCUGUACUCCCAUAGCACUUUCCUCUGUGUGCCUAGUACAGUAGCUAAAAUAUUCCCCAAAAUGUUCAGUUUUGGAGCAUAUCAGCUAGAUUUUCUAUAUCUUUAUAUCGAAAGGGGUCAAAUUUGAGCUAUAGCUGCUGGCCUACACCACAACCUCAGCAAAGUGGGAUCCAAGCCAUGUUUGCAGCCCAUACCACAGCUCACAGUAACGCCAGAUCCUUAACCCACUGAUGGAGGCCAGGGAUCAAACCUGCAUCCUCAAGGAUACUGGUCAGAUUCAUUUCUGCUGCACCACAGUGGGAACUCCGAUAUCUUUAUAUAUCUUUGUAUAGCCCCAACAAAACUUAGCAUAAUGCUCUAAACAUAGGAAUUCUUAAUAAAUGUUUAUUGAAUUCAGUUCGAUUUUCCAUUGAGUUCAACACUGAAUUCUUCAGGAAUUUAAGACUAGAGUAGUAGAUUUUUAAAAAUAAUUAGCUUUAUAAGUACUUUUCUGGUACUACCUUUCAAAUCCUUGUAAGAUUAACUCGUGGGUUCUUUUUCUAAGUAACGUUAUUGUAUCUAAGGUAUUCACCGUAUUUAAGGUAUCUUUAAUGUAGUGAGAUAAAAGCACAUAUUCCCUGUCGGUACUUUUUCCUUGAGAUUUUUUUCAUUCUGAAAGUCAAGAAGUUCUUAGAGCCGAUGAUAAGGAAUAAAAUAAAAAUAUAAAAUUAACAUAUAAGAGGAGAUGUACAUGGGACGUGGAAAUUGAAAUUCACAUUGACAUUGAGGUCACAUUUUUAAAACAAAAAAAGAUGAAAGAACUAUAACAUUUUAAAAGUAAUCUUUCCAAAUCUGAGGCAGAUUCUCAGAUGAAAAGAAAGUAUACCUGAUAUGACAAACACAGACUAUAGAAAAGCACCCAUGAAAAGUGAAUGUGACUGAAAGAGAAAUAUCAAAGCUGUUCUGAAGCCAGCCCUAGAAUACGAGGAAUCAAAAGGUUGAAGAAAUGUUUGGGGGAUCAUCAUUACACAGUGGUUAUAAUGAGCAACACCCACCUGAUACUAUCAUCUGUAUCACGUUAACAAGACCAUCAGCAUUUUGUUGAAGCAAGUUUGGCUUUUGAAAUGAACAUUUUCAUGUUUUGCAACCUGGUCUUCCUGACUUCUUCCUUUCACUGCUCUUGUUAGAACAUUCAGAGAAUAUGACAACUACUCAAGCAUCAUGUCCUCUCAAUUUCUGUCUCCUUACAUAAGGAAAAUAAAUUCCUUCUAU
This 4256-nucleotide long non-coding RNA is filed under the name Sus scrofa (pig). RNAcentral's name for it is "lncRNA (ENSSSCG00000048515.2)". The record is from RNAcentral. Lineage: Eukaryota; Metazoa; Chordata; Mammalia; Artiodactyla; Suidae.